CCAGAGGCCUGCUCGAAGGGGCUCCUCAUCAUUUUGCUUAGUUCCCUGUUUUUUGCCAAGUGUUCCCAGAAUUUGCACGUCACACCCGGUGGCUCCAUUCAAUCUUGACCACAGCCUGCUAUCUGGAGCUGAUUCAUAUAUUUACUCCCUUCCUUAACGCCAGACCGGGGGAAAGACCGUGGAUGAGGAAACCCUAGAAGAAAAUGGAAAGGAGCUGCCCACAGCAAGUUUAGCUUGAGAAGAACCAUCUCUGCUCCCUCCUUCCUACCAGGAAAGAACGAAGUUCUGCCUGGACCUACACACACCCACAGAACAGGAGAAGGAAACUGCAUUGGAAAUGUACGAAGUUCCAAACGAAGUAAAUUUGUCUCCUGGCCUCUCCCCUCAAUUCAUUUCUGAAAUCAUACCAAAUGCUUUUACCUAAUUCGACAUGGCCCUAACUUACAAGCAAGGGUGGUGGUGGCACCCCUGAAAUCAAAUAUUCAUACCCUAAUCUGAAAUGCACACUUCAUCCCCUCACCUGAACACUUUUUUUCCACUCUAGUAAGUAACCUAUGGAAUCCUAGAUGCUCUCCUAUGAGGCAACAACCCCUGGUAAUGGAAAGCCACAACUGUUAACACUGUUCUUUACUCUUCUUCACUCAUUUUCCUGAG
Long non-coding RNA from Otolemur garnettii (small-eared galago), 654 nucleotides. RefSeq lists it as uncharacterized. The transcript is spliced from 3 exons. NCBI's taxonomy places the organism in Eukaryota, Metazoa, Chordata, Mammalia, Primates, Galagidae. The record is from RefSeq and is a predicted model, not a curated record.